CGCUCGUAGUCGGAUGUUGGUAGUUCCGGGGGUGUGUGCGUCGUGCGUGCACUUCGCAGGGGCUGCUUUCGUGGGUAUGCUUGGGAUGACGCGACUUUAUUGUUGAACGUCCUUANGCNACCACUUUUUACUGUGAAAAAAUUAGAGUGUUCAAAGCAGGCAUUUGUCGUGAAUACAUUAGCAUGGAAUAAUAGAAUAGGACUUGGUUCUAUUUUGUUGGUUUGUUGGNANCGAGUAAUGAUUAAAAGGGACAGUUGGGGGCAUUUGUAUUCCGGGGCCAGAGGUGAAAUUCUUAAACUCCCGGAAGACAAACAGCUGCGAAAGCGUCUGCCAAGGAUGUUUUCAUUGAUCAAGAACGAAAGUAAGGGGAUCGAAGACGAUCAGAUACCGUCGUAGUCUUUACUAUAAACUAUGAGGACUGGGGAUCAGGCGAGGAAUUACGAUGACCCGCUNGGCACCCUUCGGGAAACCAAAGUGUUUGCUUUCUGGGGGGAGUAUGGUCGCAAGGCUGAAACUUAAAGGAAUUGACGGAAGGGCAUCACCGGGUGUGGAGCCUGCGGCUUAAUUUGACUCAACACGGGAAAACUUACCAGGUCAGGACAUAGUGAGGAUUGACAGAUUGAGAGCUCUUUCUUGAUUCUAUGGUUGGUGGUGCAUGGCCGUUCUUAGUUGGUGGAGUGAUUUGUCUGGUUAAUUCCGUUAACGAGCGAGACCUGGGCGUNCUAAAUAGGGGAUAUUACUGUUUUUGGUAGUAUGUUACCUCUUCUUAGACGGACUGCGGGCGUCCAGCCCGCGGAAGCUCCAGGCAAUAACAGGUCUGAGAUGCCCUUAGAUGUUCUGGGCCGCACGCGUGCUACACUGAGUGGAUCAGCGGGUCNGGUUGCACGAAAGUGUUUCCUAAUCUUGAAAUCCGCUCGUGAUGGGGAUUGAGGGUUGCAAUUUUCCCUCAUGAACGAGGAAUACCUUGUAAGCGUGGGUCAUCAUCCCGCGCCGAAUACGUCCCUGCCCUUUGUACACACCGCCCGUCGCUCCUACCGAUUGAGUGGUCCGGUGAGGCUUUGGGAUUGCUGC
RNAcentral lists this ribosomal RNA (1071 nucleotides) under Phymatolithon margoundulatum. RNAcentral's name for it is "SSU rRNA". It matches the Rfam family "Eukaryotic small subunit ribosomal RNA", at positions 625 to 1721 of the family's 1831-position model. The record is from RNAcentral. Lineage: Eukaryota; Rhodophyta; Florideophyceae; Hapalidiales; Hapalidiaceae.